RNAcentral lists this ribosomal RNA (253 nucleotides) under uncultured bacterium. RNAcentral's name for it is "partial 16S ribosomal RNA". It matches the Rfam family "Bacterial small subunit ribosomal RNA", at positions 524 to 776 of the family's 1533-position model. The record is from RNAcentral.
UACGAAGGGGGCUAGCGUUGUUCGGAUUUACUGGGCGUAAAGCGCGUGUAGGCGGGUCGGUAAGUUGGGGGUGAAAUCCCGAGGCUCAACCUCGGAACUGCCUUCAAAACUGGCGGCCUGGAGCAAGAUAGAGGCGAGUGGAAUUCCGAGUGUAGAGGUGAAAUUCGUAGAUAUUCGGAGGAACACCAGUGGCGAAGGCGACUCGCUGGAUCUUUGCUGACGCUGAGACGCGAAAGCGUGGGGAGCAAACAGG